Molecule: transfer RNA, 73 nt
Organism: Lachnoclostridium sp. An118
Lineage: Bacteria; Bacillati; Bacillota; Clostridia; Lachnospirales; Lachnospiraceae
Rfam family: tRNA
About the family: Transfer RNA (tRNA) molecules are approximately 80 nucleotides in length. Their secondary structure includes four short double-helical elements and three loops (D, anti-codon, and T loops). Further hydrogen bonds mediate the characteristic L-shaped molecular structure. tRNAs have two regions of fundamental functional importance: the anti-codon, which is responsible for specific mRNA codon recognition, and the 3' end, to which the tRNAs corresponding amino acid is attached (by aminoacyl-tRNA synthetases). tRNAs cope with the degeneracy of the genetic code in two manners: having more than one tRNA (with a specific anti-codon) for a particular amino acid; and 'wobble' base-pairing, i.e. permitting non-standard base-pairing at the 3rd anti-codon position.
Source: Rfam
GCGACAGUGGCUCAGUUGGUAGAGUACGACCUUGCCAAGGUCGGGGUCGCGGGUUCGAGCCCCGUCUGUCGCU